GGGGUAGUAGCUCGGUGGCAGAGCACUUGCCUAACAUGCAUGAGGCACUGGGUUUGAUCCUCAGCACCACA
This 71-nucleotide transfer RNA is filed under the name Marmota monax (woodchuck). RNAcentral describes it as "tRNA.Val". It matches the Rfam family "tRNA". Rfam says of the family: Transfer RNA (tRNA) molecules are approximately 80 nucleotides in length. The record is from RNAcentral. Lineage: Eukaryota; Metazoa; Chordata; Mammalia; Rodentia; Sciuridae.